Molecule: long non-coding RNA, 689 nt
Filed under: Olea europaea subsp. europaea
Lineage: Eukaryota; Viridiplantae; Streptophyta; Magnoliopsida; Lamiales; Oleaceae
Source: RNAcentral
GCUGAGUUUACCUGUCUAUGUCUUCUUGUCGCAGUUCCUGUCUUGGUCCUACCUGCGUUCCCUGCCACAAUGCUUGCAAUCUGGCUGAGUUUACCUGUCUGUGUCUUCCUGUUGCAGUUCCUAUCUUGGUCCUACCUGCGUCCCUUGCCACAGGUUCCUAUGUUGUUUUACCUGCAUCCCCUAAUGUAGAUUCGGCCUACAUCUCUUAACGGUGCCUGUUUUUUUUCUACCUGCAUCCCCUACCGCAGGUACUUCCGUCCAGCCGUAACAUACUGCCUGCAUUAUCCGAAUUCCCCAACCACAACCUGGAUAUAUCAACCACGACCAUGGGAGACUUAAGUCACUCCUCCACUAAAUUUGGCAAUGCCUUCAUCGCCAGGUACCGCGGAAGUUUAGACCUUAUUUGCCAUAAGUCUACCUUAUUUUCUUACUUUGUACCAUGACAUUCCCGUGUCAUGCUAAGCCUCAAAUCAUCACCUUGUGGUCCAUGACAUGUGGCUAACAUGCUACAACCUAGACCCGAGAUAGACUGCAUUGUGGACUGGCUAGAUCUAAAAGCCGAGCUGGGUUAUAUGAGCUAAAAACCUUAACUAGUUUACAACUCAACUCAAAUCUCCCACACCAGAAUACUUUUCUUGUGAUUAAUUUGCCCUUCUUUCCUUCAUUAAAAAGUUUUGGCUAUCCUAACU